This 70-nucleotide transfer RNA is filed under the name Loxodonta africana (African savanna elephant). It matches the Rfam family "tRNA". From Rfam's summary of the family: Transfer RNA (tRNA) molecules are approximately 80 nucleotides in length. The record is from Rfam by way of RNAcentral. Lineage: Eukaryota; Metazoa; Chordata; Mammalia; Proboscidea; Elephantidae.
GUAUUGGUGGUUCAGUGUAGAAUUUUCACCUUCCAUGAGGUAGAUCUGGGUUUGAUUCCUGGCCAAUGCA